GUAGGGCGCAAGCGUUGUCCGGAUUCACUGGGUGUAAAGGGUGCGCAGGCGGAUUGGCAAGUCAGGGGUGAAAUCUCACAGCUUAACUGUGAAACUGCCUUUGAUACUGCUGAUCUUGAGUUAGGGAGAGGUUGAUGGAAUUCCAGGUGUAGCGGUGAAAUGCGUAGAUAUCUGGAAGAACACCGGUGGCGAAGGCGGUCAACUGGCCCUAAACUGACGCUCAGGCACGAAAGCGUGGGGAUCAAACAGGAUUAGAUACCCUGGUAGUCCACGCCCUAAACGAUGAAUACUUGGUGUUGGCCUUUUUUGGUCAGUGCCGAAGGUAACCUGAUAAGUAUUCCACCUGGGGAGUACGCUCGCAAGGGUG
RNAcentral lists this ribosomal RNA (367 nucleotides) under uncultured organism. Its description in RNAcentral is "bacterial SSU rRNA". It matches the Rfam family "Bacterial small subunit ribosomal RNA", at positions 527 to 896 of the family's 1533-position model. The record is from RNAcentral.